Haliotis rubra (blacklip abalone) is the source of this 375-nucleotide long non-coding RNA. RefSeq lists it as uncharacterized. The record is from RefSeq and is a predicted model, not a curated record. The transcript has 2 exons. NCBI's taxonomy places the organism in Eukaryota, Metazoa, Mollusca, Gastropoda, Lepetellida, Haliotidae.
CACACGACCACCACUCCAAGCUCUGUCACGUGGGGCCAUGACCCGGCGUAUGACCUGAUCAAGGACGUCUUCUGUACCAACAUCAACGCUAUCGUCUGUGGGACCAACGUGGACGCCGAUCUCUGCGCCUCGGACGGGAACAUCUACACGAACCAGUGCCUGUUUGCCAAAGUGAAAUGUUUCAAGCCGGACCUGGAGACGGCCAACCCUUCGAGUUGUCAUGAGAACGGCCUCCCCUUGAAGUCGACACCGAGCCCGAUUGUGGUGGGAUAAAUUCAUACCCCAUGUGACGUAAUACAUGUUUCAAAUACCAGUACCAAGCUGUUUUUAAACCACUGGACUGUAACUACGUCAAUGACAUUAAAAUACUCUUUA